This is a long non-coding RNA of Daktulosphaira vitifoliae (grape phylloxera), 2788 nucleotides long. RefSeq lists it as uncharacterized. The record is from RefSeq and is a predicted model, not a curated record. The transcript has 3 exons. Lineage: Eukaryota; Metazoa; Arthropoda; Insecta; Hemiptera; Phylloxeridae.
CAGAAUAUCGACGACUUUGGUGAACAAAAUGAGCAAACGAGUGACGAAGAUAGUGUUGAACCGUACAGUGAAAAGGAAAGUAAUAAUCAAAGUAAUAGUAUACAACAUAAUUUGGCUUUAGAUUCAAAUCAGUAACUGGGAAUUUAAAUAACAUUCCAUAAAACCAGAUAACAAUUUUGUAGGUAUAAAUCCUGAUAUCAUUGAUUCCAUGAGUUUAUUGAAAGAAAUCGAUAUGUUCAAUAAAAAUUAGAUAAUAUUACAUCUAGAUUUUCUCGAAUUUCGAAGUGGUAUAAUAUCGAUCAAACAGAAAUGAGAAAUUUUCUUGGACUUAUAUUAUGGAUUGCGCUAAAUAGUUUACCAUCAUUAGCACAUUAUUGGAGGUGCCAAAAUAAAGUUUAUGCUGGUAAUGAAAUGGUUGCAGACACUGCUGUAUCUAAUUAAUUUGUGUUAGACCUUAUGGAGCCCUAUUUAAAUGUUGGGCAAAUUCUUUUUGUAGAUAAUUGGUAUACAAGUGUCUCCUUAGCUCACGAAUUAAAUGAAAAACAAAUAUAUAUUGUUGGCACUCUACGUGCAAAUAGAAAAGGCAAUCCUAAAGAUGUCAAUAACAAAAAGCUUAAAAAAGGCCAAAUUAUUGCAAAACAGAGUAAUACUAAUAUUUUUUUACUCAAAUGGAAAAAUAAGAGGGAUCUCUUAAUGCUAAGUACAAAAAAUGGUGAUACAUCCACAGCAAUCACUAAGAGAAAUAAAACCAAUACCAAACAUGAUAUGGUUAUUGAAUAUAAUCAGGGAAAGAGUUUUACCGACCGAAGUGACCAAAUUACUUCACAUUUUUCACCUUUUAGAAGAAGUUUAAAAUGAUGCCGAAAAGUCGUUUUUGAUAUUUUGCUAGGCACUUGUGUUACCAAUGCCUUAUCAUAUUUUCAAAAGUCAGCGACAACAAAAUGAAAAUUACAGAAUUCAAGAAACUAAUUAGAAUUAAUUUAAUCAACAAAUCCGAAUCUCUAAUAUCGCAAAUUUCUGACAAUCAUAUUUUCAAAAAGAUAGUUCUUCUCCUAAAAAUUGUGCUGGAUGUUACAAAAAAGUCGAAUUAGAGUUUGGCAGGAAACAAGUACAAUACCAAUGUGUAAUGCCUGUAGAGUUCCUACGUGCUUGUGUUUUAUCGAUAAUUAUUUGGUAAGAUUUAGAACAAAGUAGUAGAUAUAUAUUUUAAUAAUUUUAUCUUCGAUGCGUAGCUGAGAAGGUAUUAAUUUUACCAUGAUGUGUUUAUUUAUUUAUUUUUUUUUGUGUCUGUCACUACUUUUUCUCAGCUCUCACUGUACCGAUUCCUUUUAACAAUACGUCAAAAGAUCACAAAUCAUAUCUAGUUGAAGACGUUACCCUUAAAAAUUGAAAAAUUUUCCCUCGUUCCCCGCAAAUGGGGGAAAUCUCCAAAAAAAUUACAAAUUUAAAAAUCGGUAAAUUUUGUCAUUUUUUUCACUUUUUUUCUUAAAACUUCCAUAACUUUUUCAAAAAUAAACAAAUCAACAUAUUUUUUUUUUAUACUAAAACCUUAGAUAUUUUCCUUUCAUUUGAUAUCAUUUUUUUUAAAAAUUAACUCUUAUCCUGCUCACUGGGGGGGAUUUAAAAUAGCAACUUUUUUACAAACACUAACUUUUUCAACUUAAUUUUUGAAAAUGAUCCGGAUAUACUGCGUCCUUUCAACAUAUAUAAAAUUAAAGCUUAUUUUAUGUGCUAUAAAAUGAAAAAAAAAGUUUGUCCCGACACUUUAUCUUCUGCAUGUAAACGACUGCCGUAGUUAAAAAAACACUAUUUUUGUGUUAAAAUUUUCGAUUUUUGAUUUUAAAUUUUCAACUUAAAAAUGCUAUAACUUUUCAAAAAAUGUAUGUAUCAGCACAAAUUUUUUUUUUUUAAGUAUAUUAUAAGUACAUCUUUUAUUUGACAUACUUUUUAUUAAAAUUAGACAAUUUCCCCUUAUAUAAGGGGCGUUCAAAACUUGAAACAUUGUAUAAAAAAUAGAACUUUUUCAACUGAACUUUUGAAAAUAUUCCGGAAAUACUGCGUCCUUUAAACAUAUAUCAAAUUAAAGCUUAUUUUAUGUACUAUAAAAUUAAAAAAAAAAAUUUGUCCCGACGACCUAUUUUCUAUGCGCAAAUGGCUACCGUAUUCAAAAAUAUGCUAUUUUUCUAUUAAAAUUCUAGGUUUUGUAUUUUAUUUUAUUUUAAAAUAUCUUAUUAGGAGAAUAUAUUGACUUUCAUGAAUAUUAUAUAAUUUAAUUGACAUAGAAUAAAGUUCAUAAGAUAAGUUAUUAAACUUAUUAAACUUUUUUACUUUUUUAAAGUCGAAAGAGUAAUUUUUAAAUUUGAGUUAGCUUAAAUAGCCAAUUUUAUUAAGCGAUGAAGGCAACGAACAGUUGCCGAAUCGGUAACACUUGUGUCUUUCACGCGUAGGGUACGAGGUUCAAAUUCGACUGUGGCAAUUAAUAUUUUGCAUUUUUUUUUGAGUUAGAAUAAAAUUUUCAAAUCAUUUGAUAUUUAUCUCAUUUAGAUUCAAUAACUUCAAUGAAUAUAAAGGAACUUAUCACUAUAGUCUCCCCUCGUGAGAAGAAAUUUUUAUUCAUGUUAAUAUUAUUUUACUAUGUGGUUUUUUUUGUGGCUACGAUUUAUUUUGCCAACCCUCACUAGACCUACUAUUUCAACGAUACGUCAAAUGAUUAUAAUUCGUAAUUAGUUUAAGUUAUUACUCUUAAAGAUCGAAAAAAUAUUCCUUUUUCAAAUUAAAAGUAGCUUAA